This 524-nucleotide ribosomal RNA is filed under the name uncultured euryarchaeote. Its description in RNAcentral is "bacterial SSU rRNA". It matches the Rfam family "Archaeal small subunit ribosomal RNA", at positions 355 to 883 of the family's 1478-position model. Lineage: Archaea; Methanobacteriati; Methanobacteriota. The record is from RNAcentral.
CUGCGUAACGCGCGAUGAGGGAAUCCCAAGUGCAUGCACGUAAGUGUAUGCUGUUUCUUUGUUUAAAAAGCAUAGAGAGUAAGGGCUGGGUAAGACGGGUGCCAGCCGCCGCGGUAAUACCUGCAGCUCAAGUGGUGAUCGUUAUUAUUGGGCCUAAAACGUUCGUAGCCGGUUUAGUAAAUGCCUGGGUAAAUCGUGUAGCUUAACUAUACGAAUUCCGGGUAGACUGCUAAACUUGAGACCGGGAGAGGCUAGAGGUACUCCUGGGGUAGAGGUGAAAUUCUGUAAUCCUGGGGGGACCACCAGUGGCGAAGGCGUCUAGCUAGAACGGGUCUGACGGUGAGGGACGAAGCCCUGGGGCGCAAACCGGAUUAGAUACCCGGGUAGUCCAGGGUGUAAACGCUGCUUGCUUGAUGUUAGUCGGGCUCCGAGCCCGAUUAGUGUCGGAGAGAAGUUGUUAAGCAAGCUGCCUGGGAAGUACUGCGUAACGCUGCGUAACGCUGCGUAACGCUGCGUAACGCACA